Molecule: long non-coding RNA, 730 nt
Filed under: Nicotiana benthamiana
Lineage: Eukaryota; Viridiplantae; Streptophyta; Magnoliopsida; Solanales; Solanaceae
Description: long non-coding RNA (NBEN_LNC018649)
Source: RNAcentral
GGAAUAGAAAUUAAAUAACAUCUCUUGGUUGAAAUAUAUGUGAUAUAUAUAAAUAAUAUUAUUUUAUAUAUUAGAUGUAUAUAAAAUGUAAUAUUAAUAAAAGCUUGUUAGUAAAUCUAAUUUUGAAUUGGAUUAUUAAUUGAAGUUUUAUCCUAUUUGGAAUGGGAUUAAUAUUUUCAAUAGGAAAAUAUUAUAUUAAUAAAGAAAAAAAAAAUCAAAUUUGAAUCCCAUUUGGAAUUGGACUCAAAAAGUUCAAAGAGAGAAAAAUUGUCAGAUUCUCAUGUUAUAAAAAGAAGGAAAAAGGAAAAAGUAAAGAAGAAAAAAAAAAGUUUCGUUCCUUAACAGAAAAAGGAAAUUUCGAAUUUCCUUACAAAAUUUUCCAGAGAAAGAAAUUUGGAAUUUCAUACAAAAUUUUUCCAUAAGUUUAUUUUUGGAAUAAAUUUUUACCCUAGGAAAAUUAUUACCUCAACCAAAUAGGAAAAGGGUUUGUAGGUGAUGCUAUAUAAAGCGUGAUGGAGAAAAUUUGCAAAGUUCUUUUUUUUCGAUUUUAAUCUUUUUCAUAGAUGAUGCUAUAUAAAGGGUGAUGGAGAAAAUUUGCAAGAGUUUUUUUUUCGGUUUUAGUCUUUAAUAACCCUACUUUGUGAAAGUGAGGGUGCAAUACAAACCAAGAGAGAAAAUACAAUUGCAAGAAAAGUAUUUCUUGUUCUUCUAAUUUGAGUUGAGAUUUNNN